ACUUGUGAUGAAAUGAAUUAAAACGGAUUUAUGGGUCCUAUGACUUGCAUUUCCGAGAGCGCAAAUAUCAAGUGGAUUACUCCGUUGCCUUCCUUCUGAUAUUCUUU
RNAcentral lists this small nucleolar RNA (107 nucleotides) under Termitomyces sp. J132. RNAcentral describes it as "Small nucleolar RNA Z13/snr52". It matches the Rfam family "Small nucleolar RNA Z13/snr52". Rfam says of the family: Z13 or snr52 is a member of the C/D class of snoRNA which contain the C (UGAUGA) and D (CUGA) box motifs. Most of the members of the box C/D family function in directing site-specific 2'-O-methylation of substrate RNAs. The record is from Rfam by way of RNAcentral. Lineage: Eukaryota; Fungi; Basidiomycota; Agaricomycetes; Agaricales; Lyophyllaceae.